Molecule: transfer RNA, 78 nt
Filed under: Alteromonas stellipolaris
Lineage: Bacteria; Pseudomonadati; Pseudomonadota; Gammaproteobacteria; Alteromonadales; Alteromonadaceae
Also listed under: 1 other name
Description: tRNA-Ile
Rfam family: tRNA
About the family: Transfer RNA (tRNA) molecules are approximately 80 nucleotides in length. Their secondary structure includes four short double-helical elements and three loops (D, anti-codon, and T loops).
Source: RNAcentral
GGCCCUAUAGCUCAGUUUGGUUAGAGCACCCGACUCAUAAUCGGUAGGUCCCUGGUUCAAGUCCAGGUGGGGCCACCA